UACGAAGGGGGCUAGCGUUGCUCGGAAUGACUGGGCGUAAAGGGCGCGUAGGCGGAUGGCACAGUCAGAUGUGAAAUUCCCGGGCUUAACCUGGGGGCUGCAUUUGAUACGUGUUGUCUAGAGUGAGGAAGAGGGUUGUGGAAUUCCCAGUGUAGAGGUGAAAUUCGUAGAUAUUGGGAAGAACACCGGUGGCGAAGGCGGCAACCUGGUCCUUGACUGACGCUGAGGCGCGAAAGCGUGGGGAGCAAACGGG
This 253-nucleotide ribosomal RNA is filed under the name uncultured bacterium. RNAcentral describes it as "partial 16S ribosomal RNA". It matches the Rfam family "Bacterial small subunit ribosomal RNA", at positions 524 to 776 of the family's 1533-position model. The record is from RNAcentral.